GAUGAACGCUGGCGGCGUGCCUAAUACAUGCAAGUCGAGCGAACAGACGAGGAGCUUGCUCCUCUGACGUUAGCGGCGGACGGGUGAGUAACACGUGGAUAACCUACCUAUAAGACUGGGAUAACUUCGGGAAACCGGAGCUAAUACCGGAUAAUAUAUUGAACCGCAUGGUUCAAUAGUGAAAGACGGUUUUGCUGUCACUUAUAGAUGGAUCCGCGCCGUAUUAGCUAGUUGGUAAGGUAACGGCUUACCAAGGCGACGAUGCGUAGCCGACCUGAGAGGGUGAUCGGCCACACUGGAACUGAGACACGGUCCAGACUCCUACGGGAGGCAGCAGUAGGGAAUCUUCCGCAAUGGGCGAAAGCUUGACGGAGCAACGCCGCGUGAGUGAUGAAGGUCUUCGGAUCGUAAAACUCUGUUAUUAGGGAAGAACAAAUGUGUAAGUAACUAUGCACGUCUUGACGGUACCUAAUCAGAAAGCCACGGCUAACUACGUG
This 497-nucleotide ribosomal RNA is filed under the name uncultured bacterium. RNAcentral's name for it is "partial 16S ribosomal RNA". It matches the Rfam family "Bacterial small subunit ribosomal RNA", at positions 28 to 507 of the family's 1533-position model. The record is from RNAcentral.